AACGAACGCUGGCGGCAUGCCUAACACAUGCAAGUCGAACGAGACCUUCGGGUCUAGUGGCGCACGGGUGCGUCACGCGUGGGAACCUGCCCUUAGGUUCGGAAUAACUCCCCGACAGGGGUGCUAAUACCGGAUAAUGUCUUCGGACCAAAGAUUUAUCGCCUUUGGGUGGGCCCGCGUUGGAUUAGCUAGUUGGUAGGGUAAAAGCCUACCAAGGCGACGAUCCAUAGCUGGUCUGAGAGGAUGAUCAGCAACACUGGGACUGAGACACGGCCCAGACUCCUCCGGGAGGCCGCAGUGGUGAAUAUUGGACACUGGGCGAAAGCCUGAGCCAGCAAUGCCGCGUGAGUGAUGAAGGCCUUAGGGUUGUAAAGCUCUUUUACCCGGGAUGAUAAUGACAGUACCGGGAGAAUAAGCUCCGGCUACUUCCGG
RNAcentral lists this ribosomal RNA (432 nucleotides) under uncultured bacterium. RNAcentral's name for it is "partial 16S ribosomal RNA". It matches the Rfam family "Bacterial small subunit ribosomal RNA", at positions 29 to 506 of the family's 1533-position model. The record is from RNAcentral.